RNAcentral lists this ribosomal RNA (371 nucleotides) under uncultured bacterium. RNAcentral's name for it is "bacterial SSU rRNA". It matches the Rfam family "Bacterial small subunit ribosomal RNA", at positions 355 to 742 of the family's 1533-position model. The record is from RNAcentral.
UAGGGAAUAUUGCACAAUGGGCGAAAGCCUGAUGCAGCAACGCCGCGUGCGCGAUGACGGCCUUCGGGUUGUAAAGCGCUUUUCGGGGAGAUGAGGAAGGACAGUAUCCCCGGAAUAAGGCUCGGCUAACUACGUGCCAGCAGCCGCGGUAACACGUAGGAGCCAAGCGUUAUCCGAAUUCACUGGGCGUAAAGCGCGUGUAGGCGGCUUGGUAAGUUGGAUGUGAAAGCUCCUGGCUCAACAGGGAGAGGACGUUCAAUACUGCCGGGCUAGAUGGCGACAGAGGGAGGUGGAAUUCCCGGUGUAGUGGUGAAAUGCGUAGAUAUCGGGAGGAACACCAGUGGCGAAAGCGGCCUCCUGGGUCGCACCUG